Long non-coding RNA from Hirundo rustica (Barn swallow), 440 nucleotides. RefSeq lists it as uncharacterized. The transcript has 3 exons. The record is from RefSeq and is a predicted model, not a curated record. Lineage: Eukaryota; Metazoa; Chordata; Aves; Passeriformes; Hirundinidae.
GAUCUGCAGCAGAGCAGCAAUCUCUGGAUGCCUGAUUGCAGCUGACAGAAUCAGUGGGGAAUAAAUUGCCAGACAGGCUGAGGCAUUCUGCUUGCUUACCUGGCACUGGAGGACAAAGUGACCUGUGGUGCCAGCCAAGGUGUGUGUGCCCCAGCACAGUGGUGGGAGCAGCGUCUGUGCCCAGCCCUGGGAUGCCCUGUGUCCCAUGUCCUGCUCCGUGCAGAGGCUCUGCACAGGGACCGUCCCAGGGGAUCAGAAGGAGCUCAGCAGGAGGAGGCACCGUCCUGCCCACGGGACUGCAGCACCCUGACAACAGCAGUGAUGGACUCCACAGCGAACUGCAGCACCCUGAGGCGUGGGAGGUGUCGCACACGAUUUGUUCAUCACCCACUUACUGCUGAGGCAGCCGAUCGCCUCUCCCUGGAACGAGAGAGAAGGAC